RNAcentral lists this ribosomal RNA (272 nucleotides) under uncultured Staphylococcus sp. RNAcentral's name for it is "partial 16S ribosomal RNA". It matches the Rfam family "Bacterial small subunit ribosomal RNA", at positions 89 to 354 of the family's 1533-position model. Lineage: Bacteria; Bacillati; Bacillota; Bacilli; Caryophanales; Staphylococcaceae. The record is from RNAcentral.
ACGUUAGCGGCGGACGGGUGAGUAACACGUGGGUAACCUACCUAUAAGACUGGGAUAACUUCGGGAAACCGGAGCUAAUACCGGAUAAUAUUUCGAACCGCAUGGUUCGAUAGUGAAAGAUGGUUUUGCUAUCACUUAUAGAUGGACCCGCGCCGUAUUAGCUAGUUGGUAAGGUAACGGCUUACCAAGGCACGAUACGUAGCCGACCUGAGAGGGUGAUCGGCCACACUGGAACUGAGACACGGUCCAGACUCCUACGGGAGGCAGCAGAU